Molecule: long non-coding RNA, 3204 nt
Organism: Dermochelys coriacea (leatherback sea turtle)
Lineage: Eukaryota; Metazoa; Chordata; Testudines; Dermochelyidae
Exons: 3
Source: RefSeq, a predicted model, not a curated record
AAAUAAUGCUCAAAUUGCCACUUUCAGAGCCUGCAUAUCAGAUAAAGAAGAUUGACACUUUGCGUAAUUGCAUUCGGUCAUGAAAAUCUUCUGAUUUUCUUAAGGGGAUUGUGCGGGUUAACGUUUUCUACAGGAAUCUGACAGCUCACAUUGUAUAACUUUUAAGAAUUCUGCCCCCUUGUUACAAAAAUAGCCCACUGGACACUAGUGCUGGACAUACCAUUUUAGGUCCCCCAAUUAUCCUAGUAUGUUUUGACAAAGAUGAAUGUAGUCUUAGUUGGACGGUUAGAGCAAUGAAAUAGAACACUACUGUGGUCUGAGAAAAGUAAGUAGCUAUUUUUUAAAAAAAAAAAAGCUAAUUUUUCUCCAAAGCUCUUUUUAAAAUCUCAUUUCUGUAAGAGACCACUUUCCCCAACUAAAUUGGACAGCAGUGGAGUUCUGUAUCUGUAGCAGCUGCUGUGCACUGUGAAGAAGACUACUUGAAUGCUCACCCAUUUGGCAAUUUAAUUUCUUUGUAACCCACACAUUCAUGUUCUACUGAGUGCGGGUGAAACUGAAUCACUAUUGAUUAGCUUGUCAGUGCAGAUGUGGGUUUGGUGGUAUUUCUGUUCAUCCUUCAGAUAAUACACAAAAUUGCCAUAUUGUUUCCAAUUUAAUAAUCUAGCUAGUAUAGUAGACUGCUGUCUGGACUGUUGCUGUAGUUUUUAAUCUAUAUCUUUGUUUCAUUUUGACUUGAUGACUUGUGGUAAUAGCAGUUUUUCUUAUUGUGGGAGUGGGUACAAAGUUUGUCAGCUGCUGAAUGCAGUUAAAAAAAUUAUUGCACAGUUCCUCCCUCCCCCACCCCCCUUUCCAAGGUAAGAGCACCUCAUUGGUUUGCAAAAAAGUAGGGUUGUUGAACUAUCUAUUUGCUGAUGUAGUUUCAGGUUUUAACAAUUUUAUUUGAUCUUUAAUCACCAUCCACUAGGUUGCCCUUUAUCUUUGCUUCUUUAAAUGGCUUUGAUCCAUUCCAUAUCUAUGGAGUUCCUUGUGUAGUUAUGAAAAUUAAUUCACUGUGCGUUAAACAGUUCACUUUCACUGUAUCACAUGCUUAAGUCUGCAAUGACAAUCCAUUUGUUGGUUUCCUCUCUUUAAAUAUUGCAUGUGCAUUAUAUGCCAACAUUUGUUGGCAUCCUGACACAUUUUAUGAACUUAAGUGUCUUUUGUUCUAGGGAUUCAAAGCUCUUUUAAGUCAUUAAAUAAGCCUCUCUCAUUCUCAUGAGGUUAGAGGGAGCAUGAUAGCUAGUUGACUGAUUGGGGAGUAAGGCACAGAGAAGUUAACUGACUUGCCCAAAGUCACAAGAGUCAAAGUGAGCUACAAACAGAAUACAGGAGUCCCGAUUCCCAUUCUCCAACUCUAGCUGUUGAGCACCACUGCAUCUGGAGGCCUCAGCCAAGAGAAGUGCCCUAUUGUGGUAGGAGCAUAGGACAUGGGAAGAGAGUCACUGUGCUGCAGAGCUUUUAGUCUGAGUAGACGAGAGACAAAGGGUGCGAGGGAGCAACAAAGGUAAGGUGAAGUGGCUUGCCCAGUGUCAGGGACAACAAUGGAUGUAGAGCCCAGCUCUCCUCUUACCGGGAGCCAUACCCUAUCUACUAGACCACACUGCCUUUUAGGCAAAAACAUCUCUUUAAAUUACAAGUUGCUUUAUUGCAAGCUGUAUCCAGAACAAGAGAUACAUCGCCUAGUUUGAACACUGCCUUCGUAUCAUCACAUAUUUAGAGCGAACGUUGAAUAAAAAGUAUUUGACAAUGAAAUCAUUGCCUGCAAUUAUGACUCUGCAUUUUCCUGUUCUUGGCUAAGAGAACUAUGCUGAGGAAUCUUUAGACAAGCCAUCUUCAUAACUAUUAGAUGGACAGCAAUAUAGUAACAGGAGCAAAGUUUUAUUUCAAAUGUUGCUGAUGUUGGCUUUUUUUUUUUUCCUGCUGAAAAGCUUUUAGCUCUUGGGCAUCAAGUCAGAUGCCAUUUAAAUGCAUAACAUUCAAUUUUUAAACCCCCAUCCCCCUCCGUGCCAGAACAUUCUCAGUCUUUCUUGGAUGGAGUGUAUAAUAGGCACUUACUUAGCGCCGAUAACGCCUAAUUGAGGAUUCAGUCAAGGCUGUUGCUAAAUUAGCAGAGCUGGCUUAUUAGACAAAUGCAGUAUAGACUUGUCAAAAUAAGCAAUUCUUAAAAUUCCCAUUGCAUAAAAGGAGAAUUCAUGUAAUUAAGCUUCUCUUCCUUUUUCUGUUCCCAGGACACUGACCUCUUAUUCUUGAUGAUUCAAAUCUGUUUCCUACAAAGGCACACCUGUAUUAUUUACCUGAUUUCGUUUCACUCGGUGGUUGCUAAUGUCCUCUAGCCAGUACAGCAUGCUUAUGUAACCCACUGGUGAGAGUGUGUUACAAGUCCUCAUCCAUUCUGAUCUGCAGAGGAUAUGAGUUGUUAAAGCCCUCAGUUACAGGGCUUUGGCUAUUUAGCUGAACCGGGAGCAUCUCUUGCUUUUAGCUCUGGAGGAACCCGUUGUAAUCCCAGUAUGUCAGUCAAGAUGAUGACUGUUACACAGGUUGAUCACUGUCAUGGGACAAGAUCCUCCAAACAGGGAUACCCCACUAACAUUGUGUAACACACAAGGCUGAGACAGAGUUUUUCCGGCACCUGAAACCAUAUUAUUCAGAUAAGAAUGAAUGCUCGGGUGAAUGCUGAGAUGGCUGCGAAAUAGGCUGUCGAGUGUAGCCAAAGAGGAUAGGAUGAGGUAUUCCUUACGAGGAGACAGCACUGAGUGUUAACAGGAUCAGAAGGACAUUCACUUUUGACAUGCAGGUAAUGCAUCCAAGAAAUUAAGUCUAUAUGCCGGUAGAGAACACUCAAUUUUGACUAGAGCCUUAAGAAAAGGGACUGUUCCACAUCUGUGUGCAUUUUGUUAAGCUUCAAGAUGUGAACUGGAAAAAGUGGAUUCCCAUUGAUUGUGAACAAUACGCUCUCUAUAUGGCUUUUCAGAUUCAGUCAUUAUCAUGUCUUAAUUUUUGGAUGGCUUCUUUUCCCUGGGAGAAACGCUGUGUCUAGAGAAUAAGAAUGCUGCAGUUUGACCCAAUUUAAAAUGUAGCUAUGAAUUCAUCAGCUUGGCUAAGCAUAUAGUUAAGUUUUUUUGGUACUCCUUAUUGGUCCCAGAUAUGAAAAUAUUCUUUUUUCCC